CAGAACCACUAACGUGAUGCAGAUGGGGGCCUUUAAGAGCAUCUGAUGCGACUUAGUUGUCUAAGGAGGAAACUAAUGUUGGAACUACAAUGGGGGCACUGAAGAGUUUGAUGGCUCACAGGCAGUUAGGAAGAGAUUCUGAAUUCCUGAGGCUGAGCCCAGAACUUUCCAUAGCCUGAGAUUCUGAAAAAGGGCCACCACGGCACACCAAACAAUCCAGAUGUUCCUGCUGCCUAGUGAUUUGGCUGGGUGAUGGCCCUCAUAUCUCAGUGUUCAAGGAAGACCAUGCUUGGGUGCGCGGCAGGCACAUUCAAGCAACUGUGAUGCUUUGUGGGAGGCCUCAGCAGGCACAUCAGGGAUAAAACAUCUUUGACAUUGUGAUUAACAAAUACUCUGUCAACACAAGAAAAGGUGGCGUGUGUCUGAUCUCACUUGCCUUUUAGAGUGAGCAGUAUCUUCUGAGUUGGCCACUGGAACACAGUUUCUCUCUAAGCAUGAGUCAGUGGCUCACUUCAGGCUACACCCGAACAGUGUCAGCAGCACGAAGAUGUGUCAGACUUCUCAGAAUCCUGUGGAACAGAGCAGACAGGAGCUGAAGGGAGCAACUUUCAAACAGAUGAAGAGCAGUGUGGAACCUGGGAUGAAUCAUAAUGUAUUCCGUCUCUUUUAGAGCCC
Molecule: long non-coding RNA, 675 nt
Filed under: Fukomys damarensis (Damara mole-rat)
Lineage: Eukaryota; Metazoa; Chordata; Mammalia; Rodentia; Bathyergidae
Description: lncRNA (ENSFDAG00000023248.1)
Source: RNAcentral